GAGUUUGAUCCUGGCUCAGGAUGAACGCUAGCGGCAGGCUUAACACAUGCAAGUCGAGGGGUAACAGGGAAAAGCUUGCUUUUCCGCUGACGACCGGCGCACGGGUGCGUAACACGUAUGCAACCUACCUCUUACUGAAGGAUAGCCCAGAGAAAUUUGGAUUAAUACUUCAUAACACCACAAGAUCGCAUGAUCUAAUGGUUAAAGGUUACGGUAAGAGAUGGGCAUGCGUCCUAUUAGUUUGUUGGUGAGGUAAUGGCUCACCAAGACUACGAUAGGUAGGGGGUCUGAGAGGAUUAUCCCCCACACUGGUACUGAGACACGGACCAGACUCCUACGGGAGGCAGCAGUGAGGAAUAUUGCGCAAUGGACGAAAGUCUGACGCAGCCAUGCCGCGUGAAGGAUGACGGCGCUACGCGUUGUAAACUUCUUUUAUAUACCAAGAAACCUUCGGACGUGUCCGAAGCUGACGGUAGUAUAUGAAUAAGCACCGGCUAACUCCGUGCCAGCAGCCGCGGUAAUACGGAGGGUGCAAGCGUUAUCCGGAUUUAUUGGGUUUAAAGGGUCCGUAGGCGGAUCAUUAAGUCAGUGGUGAAAGCCGACAGCUCAACUGUCGAACUGCCAUUGAUACUGGUGAUCUUGAGUACGGUUGAAGUAGGCGGAAUAUGACAUGUAGCGGUGAAAUGCUUAGAUAUGUCAUAGAACACC
RNAcentral lists this ribosomal RNA (708 nucleotides) under uncultured bacterium. RNAcentral's name for it is "bacterial SSU rRNA". It matches the Rfam family "Bacterial small subunit ribosomal RNA", at positions 9 to 710 of the family's 1533-position model. The record is from RNAcentral.